GUAGUUGUGGCCAAGUGGUUAAGGUGAUGGACUAGAAAUCCAUUGGAGUUGCUCCAUGCAGGUUUGAAUCCAGCCAGCUAUG
Gopherus evgoodei (Goodes thornscrub tortoise) is the source of this 82-nucleotide non-coding RNA. NCBI's taxonomy places the organism in Eukaryota, Metazoa, Chordata, Testudines, Testudinidae. The record is from the annotation of a RefSeq genome assembly.